This 331-nucleotide unclassified non-coding RNA is filed under the name soil metagenome. Its description in RNAcentral is "partial contains 5.8S ribosomal RNA, internal transcribed spacer 2, and large subunit ribosomal RNA". The stretch from base 1 to 120 matches the Rfam family "5.8S ribosomal RNA", at positions 35 to 154 of the family's 154-position model. The record is from RNAcentral.
GAUGAAGAACGUAGCGAAAUGCGAUAAGUAAUGUGAAUUGCAGAGUUCAGUGAAUCAUCGAAUCUUUGAACGCUCAUUGCGCCCCCUGGUAUUCCGGGGGGCAUGCCUGUUCGAGCGUCAUUUCACCACUCAAGCCUCGCUUGGUAUUGGGCAACGCGGUCCGCCGCGUGCCUCAAAUCGACCGGCUGGGUCUUCUGUCCCCUAAGCGUUGUGGAAACUAUUCGCUAAAGGGUGUUCGGGAGGCUACGCCGUAAAACAACCCCAUUUCUAAGGUUGACCUCGGAUCAGGUAGGGAUACCCGCUGAACUUAAGCAUAUCAAUAAGCGGAGGA